This 593-nucleotide long non-coding RNA is filed under the name Homo sapiens (human). RNAcentral describes it as "HSALNT0379122". Lineage: Eukaryota; Metazoa; Chordata; Mammalia; Primates; Hominidae. The record is from RNAcentral.
AUACCUCUCAGAGUCCAGGAGGCAGUGAGGGAAAGCUUUUAAUUCAAAGCCCUAUCCAUCUUCCCAACUCAGGUGAGAUGGGGACUAGAAAGUCGGUCUGGCUGAAGCUAAGUGAGGCCAGCCUUCUGGGUGUUGGGUAUCAGGUUCUGGACGGGGCUGGCAGUUGUGUGUGGGGCUCAUGGAUGGUUUUAGGCCCUUCUGCCCCCUUUGUCAGUGUGCCCUUGUGGGAAGCCGGUGCGUUUCCAGGGGAGCUGCUGGAGGCUUCUUAUGGCAUGCAGAUCAAGGAAGACCUGUAGACUACAUGCACCCUGGCGCUCUGGGAACGGGGAGCCAUGGAACGUGCGUGAAGCGGUGUGUAAAACUGGAGAGAAAAACCCUAAGGAGACCUCAUCGGACGUUCCUGUGAUAAUCUAGGCCUCAGGACAGGCAGACUGGGAUGCUUGUGUUACCCCUAACUUUAGAUUACUCUCCCACUGCUCCCCUCCUUCACUGUAGAUUCCCACAAUUUCAGUAUCAAUGUAAUUACAAUUUAGGGGCUUAGAAACUCCUGUAUUUAUUGAGAACCCACUUAAUUUACAUAUAUUGAGUUUCAA